Cucumis sativus (cucumber) is the source of this 1902-nucleotide long non-coding RNA. RefSeq lists it as uncharacterized. The transcript is spliced from 2 exons. NCBI's taxonomy places the organism in Eukaryota, Viridiplantae, Streptophyta, Magnoliopsida, Cucurbitales, Cucurbitaceae. The record is from RefSeq and is a predicted model, not a curated record.
CCUGCAAAAGAAGGGUAGGAAAAGGGAAAAAGGAAAAAAAAUACAGCUGUUCAGUGAUCUUGCAUUUACUUUCUUAGAUUUGAUAUAAGGAUGUGCUGUAAUUCUAAAUCGAAGUUUUUUAUAGUGCAACAAAUAUGGUAUGAAAAGUUGAAUAUCUAAUCGUGAAAAAAAGGAGUACAUGCCAGUUACCUCCGGUUACUUGGUAGAAGUUAUGAACUUACUCGUACAUGUAUACAUAAACGAUACAGAUUUUGUCGUGAGGUAAAAGAUGAUAUAUAUAUAUAGCCAAGUAUAGCACAAGAUCAAAUCUCUUGUAGCCACAAACUGGGAAAAUAAAGGAAUAUUCUUUCCCCAACUAUUCUAUAACAAAAACCCUUCAAUCAUUUCUCACCAUGGCGGUGUCUAAUUUGGAGGUAUUGUCUCGAAUCAAAAAUCAUUAUGAUGGGAACAUGUACAGAAUAAAGGUUUGUUUGAACCUUCAUUCAUGAUAGGGUCUUUUUGCACUGAAAAAGUAAGAUUUAAGAUUAAUGCCAUCUCUUUUUUCCUGCAAGUUAUCUUGGUAGAGUGGUUUUCGAAUGUAACAAAUCGAAAAGAAGUUACUAUCUGGAGAAGACAAGAAGAUGGACUCCUACUAAGGCUGAUACAUAUGUUUUCUUACAACGCUGAUUUAUGGCUUUUCAGUUAUAAACAAUUACAUUUGUUUUCUAAUUACAAUGCACUUCCUAAGUUUCAAUCUCUAGAAUAGGCGGAUGAACAAGUAAAAAUACCAAGUCAAACAAUAUAUUCAAUUGAAAGCUUUUUAUUUUUUUAUUACUACAAAAUUUCUUUACUAUCAUUUUAUCUUUUCGACCUAGAAACUUCUUUGUCAGAUUCCAAAAACAAAACCUAUCUUUUUCUUUUGGCUUGGUUUUAAAAAACAGUGCUAAAAGAUAAAAAGUAAAACAAAUAAAUUCAUGUAGAAGUAGAGUUUAUAAAUGUAAUUUUCAAACAAAAAAACCGAAUUGUUAUGGCUCGAGCUAACUUUUAGAAUUUAGUUAAACUCUGAGUGCUAUAAGGAUAGGAUCAGUUUGAUUCUAUCUCACGUUUUAAACCUAUACCUAAAAGGUCUAUUCAUACACCGGCAGUCUUCAUCUUCACGUAGGAGUUUUCUUAUUAGAAUCUAAUUUCUUUCAACCAGACAAAAAGUGCACGUAAUUUUGAGUAGGCUGAAAUGCCCUUUUCUUAGAGGUCAGUCUCUUUUAAAAGGUUGUAAGGUCAUAGUACGGCUUGGAUAGACGCAGUUUAAAGUACCAGAGAAUAUUUCCACACAAGAGAUAAAAAAACUACAAGACAAAUUUUCACGUUGUGCAUCAAAAAGCAAUCUUCCAUGCUACAAAUGUAUUAUCUAUACUCUAUAGAUAUCAAAAUAAAGGAAUGUGGUGUUAACGAUUCCAGGAAAUCCUAUCCAUGUGUUAUUUUUAACAAGAGGGUUGCUUCUCCUCAUCACUUACAAAUAUUCUCUCAUUUUCCUCUCGUCUUAUUUUACGGUGAAAGAUGAUACGAAUGAACAGAGCUUUAUUAAAAUACUUCUACAAAUUUUAGAACGUUUCAUUCAGGAUAAUUUCAUAUUUUAUUUGACUUGCAAAUUAGAGCUGAUUUCAAAUGUAUGUUUUUAUUUCAGGCUUUAUUAUUUUUUAUUGUAUUAAUGACAACCUUGAUUGUCAAAUAUUUCUUUAAGACAUCAAAUUCUCAUCCCUAAUUUCCCCACAAAUGGCUGGUUCUCCCAUUUCCCUUUCCCUUUCCCCUUUUCCUCUCUCUCUAGUUUUAUUUUCUGUUUUGCGCCUUCGCUAGAACAAAAGAUUGUCAGAACUUAAUUCUAAAGAUUCCUUACACAGUACACAUGAAUCAAUAAUUUUCAGAAUA